GUCCAUCACUGGAGUCCAUCACUGUAGUCCAUCCCUGUAGUCCAUCACUGGAGUCCAUCACUGUAGUCCAUCCCUGUAGUCCAUCACAUGAGUCCAUCCCUGUAGUCCAUCACAUGAGUCCAUCACUGGAGUCCAUCACUGUAGUCCAUCCCUGUAGUCCAUCACAUGAGUCCAUCCCUGUAGUCCAUCCCUGUAGUCCAUCCCUGUAGUCCAUCACAUGAGUCCAUCAGUGUAGUCCAUCACUGGAGUCCAUCCCUGUAGUCCAUCACAUGAGUCCAUCACUGGAGUCCAUCACUGGAGUCCAUCCCUGUAGUCCAUCACAUGAGUCCAUCACUGGAGUCCAUCACAUGAGUCCAUCACAUGAGUCCAUCACUGGAGUCCAUCACAUGAGUCCAUCACAUGAGUCCAUCACUGGAGUCCAUCACAUGAGUCCAUCACAUGAGUCCAUCACUGGAGUCCAUCACUGUAGUCCAUCACAUGAGUCCAUCACUGGAGUCCAUCACUGUAGUCCAUCACAUGAGUCCAUCACUGGAGUCCAUCCCAUGAGUCCAUCACUGGAGUCCAUCCCUGUAGUCCAUCACAUGAGUCCAUCCCUGGAGUCCAUCACUGGAGUCCGUCACAUGAGUCCAUCACAUGAGUCUAUCACUGGAGUCCAUCAUAUGAGUCCAUAACUGUAGUCCAUCCCUGUAGUCCAUCACAUGAGUCCAUCACUGGAGUCCAUCACUGUAGUCCAUCACAUGAUCCAUCCCCUGUAGUCCAUCACAUGAGUCCAUCACUGGAGUCC
Gasterosteus aculeatus aculeatus (three-spined stickleback) is the source of this 784-nucleotide long non-coding RNA. Lineage: Eukaryota; Metazoa; Chordata; Actinopteri; Perciformes; Gasterosteidae. The record is from Ensembl.